This 322-nucleotide ribosomal RNA is filed under the name uncultured eukaryote. Its description in RNAcentral is "partial 18S ribosomal RNA". It matches the Rfam family "Eukaryotic small subunit ribosomal RNA", at positions 1470 to 1796 of the family's 1831-position model. The record is from RNAcentral.
CCCUUAGAUGUUCUGGGCCGCACGCGUGCUACACUGAGUGGAUCAGCGGGUCAGGUUGCGCGAAAGUGUUUCCUAAUCUUGAAAUCCGCUCGUGAUGGGGAUUGACGGUUGCAAUUUUCCGUCAUGAACGAGGAAUGCCUUGUAAGCGCGGGUCAUCAUCCCGCGCUGAAUACGUCCCUGCCCUUUGUACACACCGCCCAUCGCUCCUACCGAUUGAGUGGUCCGGUGAGGCUUUGGGAUCUGAGCGGAAAGAGCGUUUCGCUGUUUCUGCUCGGAAAACUCAGUCGAACCUUAUCAUUUAGAGGAAGGAGAAGUCGUAACA